AAUGGGAUUUUUUUUGGGGGGGGUGGAUUUUGAUACUAAAUCUUUAAUAUUUGCUUAGGGAUUUUCCUUUACCUUUUUUUUAAAACUUUGGUUCACUUUUAAGUAUUAAUUUGCAUGUCAAGAUGUAACACUUCAGAAUAAUUUAAAUUCAUUUUCUUAGUACUUCAAGAAAGAACAUAGCCAAUGAAUGUUGAAUAAGUGAUUUAGUGGUCCACAGUGGGGGAGAAAUGGAUGUAGCAUCUCAAGAAUGGCUGCUGGCAUGCAAUGCAAAUUGUUUAUUGUGUUUGACUUAAUUUUUCAGUGUAUAUGAAUGAAAUAAUGUUAAUUUCAAAAGUGGCUUAAGAUCUUCAUAUGAAGCUCUUUGACGGACAGAGUAACUGCAUAAAUAAGCAGAAUUUCAAAUUUGAUUAUCAAAAUCUACUGUGGAUCACAGACUGAAGAUCAAAUGUUAGGAUCACAGACUGAAGAU
Molecule: long non-coding RNA, 469 nt
Filed under: Bos indicus x Bos taurus (hybrid cattle)
Lineage: Eukaryota; Metazoa; Chordata; Mammalia; Artiodactyla; Bovidae
Description: lncRNA (ENSBIXG00000021637.1)
Source: RNAcentral